Molecule: long non-coding RNA, 252 nt
Organism: Exaiptasia diaphana
Lineage: Eukaryota; Metazoa; Cnidaria; Anthozoa; Actiniaria; Aiptasiidae
Exons: 3
Source: RefSeq, a predicted model, not a curated record
AGAACCAUAAGUACAUACAAUAAGUGGUGUGCACUUCUUCCAAGAAUUAGACCGUUUUAUGCAAUCAAGUGUAAUCCUGACCCAGUCCUUGUACGCCAAUUGAAGCUGUUGGGAACUGGGUUUGACUGUGCUAGCAAAGUAGGUAUACAUUUUCACUCCUUUGCACGGACCGUUAUGGGUACUAGUCUAUAUAUCCUUAAUAACGCCAAUCAACAUCAAAGAGUAAGGUUAUAGGGGUUAUAGGGACUUUAA